AUCGCUUCUCGGCCUUUUGGCUAAGAUCAAGUGUGAAAACACCUAGUGUUAGGUUUUUAAAAAUGUCUCUGGUGGUAGAGUGGCAGGUACAAAAUGAAUUUAGUUUUGUGGGUAUUGCAAUUUGGAGCUUAUUGUUUUAUCUGCUACUGCUGCACUACUUAGAUUGAGGAUACCCUUU
Molecule: small nuclear RNA, 178 nt
Filed under: Myotis davidii
Lineage: Eukaryota; Metazoa; Chordata; Mammalia; Chiroptera; Vespertilionidae
Description: U2 spliceosomal RNA
Rfam family: U2 spliceosomal RNA
About the family: U2 is a small nuclear RNA (snRNA) component of the spliceosome (involved in pre-mRNA splicing). Complementary binding between U2 snRNA (in an area lying towards the 5' end but 3' to hairpin I) and the branchpoint sequence (BPS) of the intron results the bulging out of an unpaired adenosine, on the BPS, which initiates a nucleophilic attack at the intronic 5' splice site, thus starting the first of two transesterification reactions that mediate splicing.
Source: Rfam by way of RNAcentral